RNAcentral lists this ribosomal RNA (433 nucleotides) under uncultured bacterium. RNAcentral describes it as "partial 16S ribosomal RNA". It matches the Rfam family "Bacterial small subunit ribosomal RNA", at positions 29 to 507 of the family's 1533-position model. The record is from RNAcentral.
AACGAACGCUGGCGGCAUGCCUAACACAUGCAAGUCGAACGAGACCUUCGGGUCUAGUGGCGCACGGGUGCGUCACGUGUGGGAACCUGCCCUUAGGUUCGGAAUAACACCCCGAAAGGGGUGCUAAUACCGGAUAACGUCUUCGGACCAAAGAUUUAUCGCCUUUGGAUGGGCCCGCGUUGGAUUAGCUUGUUGGUAGGGUAAAAGCCUACCAAGGCGACGAUCCAUAGCUGGUCUGAGAGGAUGAUCAGCCACACUGGGACUGGGACACGGCCCAGACUCCUACGGGAGGCAGCAGUGGGGAAUAUUGGACUAUGGGCGGAAGCCUGAUCCAGCAAGGCCGCGUGAGUGAUGAAGGCCUUAGGGAUGUAAAGCUCUUUUACCCGGGAUGAUAAUGACAGUACCGGGAGAAUAAGCACCGGCUAACUCCGUG